UGGGGAAUAUUGCACAAUGGGGGAAACCCUGAUGCAGCGACGCCGCGUGAACGAAGAAGGUAUUCGUAUCGUAAAGUUCUGUCCUAUGGGAAGAUAAUGACAGUACCAUAGAAGAAAGCUCCGGCUAAAUACGUGCCAGCAGCCGCGGUAAUACGUAUGGAGCGAGCGUUGUCCGGAAUUAUUGGGCGUAAAGGGUACGCAGGCGGUUUAAUAAGUCGAAUGUUAAAGAUCGGGGCUCAACCCCGCAAAGCAUUGGAAACUGAUAAACUUGAGUAUUGGAGAGGAAAGUGGAAUUCCUCGUGUAGUGGUGAAAUACGUAGAUAUUAGGAGGAAUACCAGUAGCGAAGGCGACUUUCUGGACACAAACUGACGCUGAGGUACGAAAGCGUGGGGAGCAAACAGG
This 403-nucleotide ribosomal RNA is filed under the name bacterium. RNAcentral describes it as "partial 16S ribosomal RNA". It matches the Rfam family "Bacterial small subunit ribosomal RNA", at positions 355 to 776 of the family's 1533-position model. The record is from RNAcentral.